GACCGUGUGGCCUAAUGGAUAAGGCAUCGGACUUCGAAUCCGGGGAUUGCAGGUUCGAGUCCUGUCACGGUCG
Molecule: transfer RNA, 73 nt
Filed under: Trialeurodes vaporariorum (greenhouse whitefly)
Lineage: Eukaryota; Metazoa; Arthropoda; Insecta; Hemiptera; Aleyrodidae
Description: tRNA-Arg for anticodon UCG
Rfam family: tRNA
About the family: Transfer RNA (tRNA) molecules are approximately 80 nucleotides in length.
Source: RNAcentral